Molecule: non-coding RNA, 1034 nt
Organism: Vicugna pacos (alpaca)
Lineage: Eukaryota; Metazoa; Chordata; Mammalia; Artiodactyla; Camelidae
Source: RefSeq, a predicted model, not a curated record
CUUUGGAGUCAGGUUUGUGAUUCAGGUGAGGAUUUUCAGGGUGAGAACUCAUGCUUGUAUUAGUUUUCUAUUGCCACUGUAACAAACUACCACAAACUUAUUGGUAUUAAUAAAUUAUACAUUCAUUAUCUUAUAGUUCUGGAAGUCUGAAGUCUGAAAUCAUCAAAUACAUGAGCUGACAUCAAAUUAUCAGCGAGGAUGCUUCCUUUUGAAGGCUGAGAGGAAAAUCCAAUCACCUUGCCUUUUUCAGCUUCCAGUGGCCUAUGUUCUUUGGCUUGUGCUCUUUCUCCACCUUCAAAACACAUCUUGCAGUUUCUGCUUUCCUCAUCACAUCACCUCUUCUCUUGUAGUCAAAUCUCACUCUGCCUCCCUUUUACCAGGACACUUGUGAUCACAGGUAGGCUCAUGAGGGUGUUCCAGGGUAACUUCUACCAUCUCAGGAUCUUUAAUUUAAUCUCAUCCUCAGAGUGCUGUUUGCUCUAUAAGGUAUCAUUCACAGGUUCCAGGAUCCAGGACCUGGAUAUCUUGGGAGGUCAUUAUUCUGCCUACCACAAUGUUCCAGCCCCCAACAUAACUUUACACAUACACACAGUCAUUUUGUAUAUAUAUACACACACACAUAUACAUAUAUAUACACACACAAUGUAUAUAUAUAUACACACACACACAUAACUUUCAAUUGCAUAUGGCCUUGUCAAAUUCCUACUCAACCUCAAAACCAGUGUGGUUUCCAGGGUGAGUAGGAAUUUGGUACGGCAUUAUCUCCUCUAUGAGGUUUUUAAUAUCCUUCACUGCCUUCAAGAUCAUCCCUCUGAAUCUCAUACAUAAUUUUGUGAGUUGAUUUGCUUGGUUGCAACUCUUGUUAUAUUUGAGAUUCUUGUGUAUUUUUAUUUUUGCAACCCUAGUGAUUUGCACAAUAAAUAACCCAAGGUAUAGUGAUACAGUAACACAUAAUAAAGCUUUGUGUUGUGCACUACAUAAAAAUGUUAACUGAUUUCUAGAAUUCCCUGGGUUAAAAAAAUAAAAAUGUACAA